RNAcentral lists this long non-coding RNA (343 nucleotides) under Setaria viridis. RNAcentral's name for it is "long non-coding RNA (SVIR_LNC008298)". The record is from RNAcentral. Lineage: Eukaryota; Viridiplantae; Streptophyta; Magnoliopsida; Poales; Poaceae.
UCAUGUAUCUUCUGCCUAUGUGGUCAGAUUUUUUUUUGUCGUAGACAUUCACAUUCACAUGUUCAAGACCGGAUAAUUUCCUUAAUUAAUAAAAAAGAAAUUCAUUGCAGAGGGGAAGCAAAACACUAGCUCAUACACCAAAUAUAGCUUUCCCGAUUAAAACAAGUGGCCCUUUUUUUUUCUAAAGAUUUUGUUUCCAGCCAAUGCAAAGUAGUUGUUUGUAGCAUAGGAAAAUUACUGAAAGCUUAAAUGUCUACAAAGCCAAAUCAUUAGCAAAGUCCACAGCUGCCGGCCCCAGUCCCCAACUCCCAACCCUUAACUAAAAUCUCCAUAAAUCUAACCC